UAGCCGCGGUAAUACCAGCUCUCCGAGUGGGUGUGGAUGUUUUAUUGGGCUUAAAGCAUCCGUAGCUGGCUGAGUAAGUCCCCUGUUAAAUCCAGCGAUUCAAUCGUUGGCUUUGCGGGGGGAUACUGUUCGGGCUUGGAGGCGGGGAGAGGCCGGCGGUAUUCUCGGGGUAGGGGUGAAAUCCUAUAAUCCCGGGGAAGACCACCAGUGGCGAAAGGC
This 219-nucleotide ribosomal RNA is filed under the name uncultured archaeon. Its description in RNAcentral is "partial 16S ribosomal RNA". It matches the Rfam family "Archaeal small subunit ribosomal RNA", at positions 462 to 673 of the family's 1478-position model. The record is from RNAcentral.